RNAcentral lists this non-coding RNA (31 nucleotides) under Homo sapiens (human). Lineage: Eukaryota; Metazoa; Chordata; Mammalia; Primates; Hominidae. The record is from RNAcentral.
UCUGCCUGAACUACACUGAGAAUGCAUGAUG